GACGAACGCUGGCGGCGUGCCUAAUACAUGCAAGUCGAGCGGACCGAACAGGAGCUUGCUCUUGUUCGGUUAGCGGCGGACGGGUGAGUAACACGUGGGUAACCUACCCGUAAGACCGGGAUAACUCCGGGAAACCGGAGCUAAUACCGGAUAACACCAAAGACCGCAUGGUCUUUGGUUGAAAGGCGGCUUCGGCUGUCACUUACGGAUGGGCCCGCGGCGCAUUAGCUAGUUGGUGAGGUAACGGCUCACCAAGGCGACGAUGCGUAGCCGGCCUGAGAGGGUGACCGGCCACACUGGGACUGAGACACGGCCCAGACUCCUACGGGAGGCAGCAGUAGGGAAUCUUCCGCAAUGGACGAAAGUCUGACGGAGCGACGCCGCGUGAGCGAAGAGGGUCUUCGGAUCGUAAAGCUCUGUUGUUAGGGAAGAAGAAGUACCGUUCGAAUAGGGCGGUACGGUGACGGUACCUAACGAGAAAGCCCCGGCUAACUAC
RNAcentral lists this ribosomal RNA (496 nucleotides) under uncultured Bacillota bacterium. RNAcentral's name for it is "bacterial SSU rRNA". It matches the Rfam family "Bacterial small subunit ribosomal RNA", at positions 28 to 504 of the family's 1533-position model. The record is from RNAcentral. Lineage: Bacteria; Bacillati; Bacillota.